This 253-nucleotide ribosomal RNA is filed under the name uncultured bacterium. RNAcentral's name for it is "partial 16S ribosomal RNA". It matches the Rfam family "Bacterial small subunit ribosomal RNA", at positions 524 to 776 of the family's 1533-position model. The record is from RNAcentral.
UACAGAGGGUGCGAGCGUUAAUCGGAAUUACUGGGCGUAAAGCGUGCGUAGACGGCUAUCUAAGUCGGGUGUGAAAGCCCCGAGCUUAACUUGGGAAUUGCGCUUGUGACUGGCGUGCUGGAGUGUGGCAGAGGGAGGUGGAAUUCCACGUGUAGCAGUGAAAUGCGUAGAGAUGUGGAGGAACACCGAUGGCGAAGGCAGCCUCCUGGGCCAGCACUGACGCUCAUGCACGAAAGCGUGGGGAGCGAACAGG